RNAcentral lists this ribosomal RNA (254 nucleotides) under uncultured bacterium. RNAcentral describes it as "partial 16S ribosomal RNA". It matches the Rfam family "Bacterial small subunit ribosomal RNA", at positions 524 to 776 of the family's 1533-position model. The record is from RNAcentral.
UACGUAGGGUGCAAGCGUUGUCCGGAAUUAUUGGGCGUAAAGAGCUCGUAGGCGGUUUGUCGCGUCGGCCGUGAAAACCUGCAGCUUAACUGUGGGCGUGCGGUCGAUACGGGCAUCACUGGAGUUCGGCAGGGGAGACUGGAAUUCCUGGUGUAGCGGUGAAAUGCGCAGAUAUCAGGAGGAACACCGGUGGCGAAGGCGGGUCUCUGGGCCGAUACUGACGCUGAGGAGCGAAAGCGUGGGGAGCGAACAGG